CAAAACAUGAAAGGCUAAAACAAUAUUUUAUUCAAAGUCUCAAACUUUAUAUUAUUACUCAAUGUCUAGUCUCAUCGGAGUGGUUUGUAUUGGGAUUCCAAUUUGGUGGGAUAUCAUUAUUUGGGUAUUAUUUUAGAGAAAUGAUGUUUCACCAACAAAAUACUACUUUUGCCAACUGCCAACUAUAAUACGAAUACAUAUGCUAAUAUACAAUGUUUGAUUUGCCUUUUGAAGUGGGAAUUGAAGUAACUCAUGCCUAUGCCCUUAGAUUGAAACUAACAUGUUUUGUCUCUGUUAUUUUUUUCACUCAAUUGUCACGUCAUUCUUCUAUUGCAAAUUCAAAAGUUCUUACUUUUAACUAGCAAAGUUAAUCCCUUUCAAAUCAUGAAAACUAAUCCCCUUUGCUUAAUCUGAGUCUCAUAGACAGUUACCGGAGUUUGGUUUGACUUUCUCGUUGUCGCAUUACUUUGGUGUCGCUGGUGAAGUAUCCACGGGACUUGCUGUGACGCUGUCCACAGCCUGCGAGGAAAGUUCAUUGAGGGAUUACAUGGGCUAUGAAGUUUGGGUUUGUCAUCUACAUGGGCCGUGCAAGCGCUGCUAUUGGAAGAUUGUUGGUGAUAGGCAAAGUAGUUCUAGUUUAUCUCAUAAUUCAGGACCUUUAGAGGAAGCCACAAAAAGUAAGCAUGCAAAGUGCACGUGGACGACUAAGUGUUCUCCACUUCGGAUGAUGUUGGUGAACAAUAAUCUGAGUCCUGAGCAGAGGGAGGCUAUGAAAGAAAUGGAAUUUGGUGUCUUACUUUCUCUAGAUGUCAAGAGAAUGUAUCUGCAGUUAUUGCUCCACAUUGUGGAGGCUCUUAGCUUCCAAAGAAUGUGAAUUGAAGCUAAGUCAUUCAAUUCCAUUGAGAGUUAAUGAUGUGGCCUUCAACAUGAGGAGAAGGCUGAGUUGCAGGAGUUUAAGCAUCUUAAUAUUCCUGGUCUAGGCCGGAUCAUAUAGGAAGUAGGUAUGGACGAUUGGUAGAGGUGUGCUUAUUUGUUGCAUGCCUUUGGAGCCUUUCUCACAAGCAAGAACUAGCUAAGUACUGAUUCGUUGGGAGCUUUGCUACAUGUUAAGAGGUGCAAAAGUUAUAAUUGGAGUUUUUUAAUUCACGAGUGGUUGAUGGAAGUCAUAUGUAGUUAUCGGACAAGGUCUCCAAAGUCCAGCUCCAUAGGAAGAUGCUUGUACCUGUUCUUGGUUCUAUACUUACAAUGGCAAAGGUUCAGGCCGAGUGAUGAGCAGAUAUUUUAUACACUUUUUGGGGUUAAUUUCAUAUAGUUUUGGGUAUUUUUCUGGCUGAAAUUGAAGGAGCUGAGCAAAAAUCUGAUUCAGGCUGAAGAAGGACUGCUGAUGCUGU
Molecule: non-coding RNA, 1391 nt
Organism: Arachis ipaensis
Lineage: Eukaryota; Viridiplantae; Streptophyta; Magnoliopsida; Fabales; Fabaceae
Source: RefSeq, a predicted model, not a curated record